UAACAUGUCAAAUGUCCAGGCAGGUUGUC
This 29-nucleotide non-coding RNA is filed under the name Rattus norvegicus (Norway rat). The record is from RNAcentral. Lineage: Eukaryota; Metazoa; Chordata; Mammalia; Rodentia; Muridae.